GAUGAACGCUGGCGGCGUGCCUAAUACAUGCAAGUCGAGCGAACAGACGAGGAGCUUGCUCCUCUGACGUUAGCGGCGGACGGGUGAGUAACACGUGGAUAACCUACCUAUAAGUCUGGGAUAACUUCGGGAAACCGGAGCUAAUACCGGAUAAUAUAUUGAACCGCAUGGUUCAAUAGUGAAAGACGGUUUUGCUGUCACUUAUAGAUGGAUCCGCGCCGCAUUAGCUAGUUGGUAAGGUAACGGCUUACCAAGGCGACGAUGCGUAGCCGACCUGAGAGAGUGAUCGGCCACACGAGAACUGAAACGCGGACCAUGCUCCUGCGAGAGGCAGCAGUAGGGAAUCUGCCGCAGUAGGCGAAAGCCUUACAGAGCAACGCCGCGUGAGUGAUGAAAGUCUUCGGAUCGUAAAACUCUGUUAUUAGUGAAGAACAAAUGUGUCAGUAACUAUACACUGCGUGACGGUACCUAAUCAGAAAGCCACGGCUAACUACGUG
RNAcentral lists this ribosomal RNA (497 nucleotides) under uncultured bacterium. Its description in RNAcentral is "partial 16S ribosomal RNA". It matches the Rfam family "Bacterial small subunit ribosomal RNA", at positions 28 to 507 of the family's 1533-position model. The record is from RNAcentral.